Molecule: ribosomal RNA, 468 nt
Filed under: uncultured bacterium
Lineage: Bacteria
Description: partial 16S ribosomal RNA
Rfam family: Bacterial small subunit ribosomal RNA
Source: RNAcentral
GACGAACGCUGGCGGCGUGCUUAACACAUGCAAGUCGAACGGAAAGGCCCUGCUUUUGUGGGGUGCUCGAGUGGCGAACGGGUGAGUAACACGUGAGUAACCUGCCCUUGACUUUGGGAUAACUUCAGGAAACUGGGGCUAAUACCGGAUAGGAGCUCCUGCUGCAUGGUGGGGGUUGGAAAGUUUCGGCGGUUGGGGAUGGACUCGCGGCUUAUCAGCUUGUUGGUGGGGUAGUGGCUUACCAAGGCUUUGACGGGUAGCCGGCCUGCGAGGGUGACCGGCCACAUUGGGACUGAGGUACGGCCCAGACGCCUACGGGAGGCAGCAGUGGGGAAUAUUGCACAAUGGGCGGAAGCCUGAUGCAGCAACGCCGCGUGCGGGAUGACGGCCUUCGGGUUGUAAACCGCUUUCGCCUGUGACGAAGCGUGAGUGACGGUAAUGGGUAAAGAAGCACCGGCUAACUACGUG